This is a non-coding RNA of Podarcis lilfordi (Lilford's wall lizard), 5050 nucleotides long. The record is from the annotation of a GenBank genome assembly. Lineage: Eukaryota; Metazoa; Chordata; Lepidosauria; Squamata; Lacertidae.
CUUGAAUUCAAGUGAUGUAGUUUGGGGGAUGACUACCAAACUAAGACUGAACCACCGCAAGAAAGGUGGAUCUGGUGCUUAAUGGCAUUGGCCUGACACAAAAGUAUUGGUAAGGUUCACUGUGUUUCUUACCUACUCUUUGCCAGAAAGUCACAGGACUGGUUAGAGUAUUAAAAAACCCAGAAUCAGGACAGUAAAAACCAUCCCACCCACAACUCCAAAAUCAAUAAUUUGCACAGCAUAUUACAGGAAGGACACCAAAGCCCAUUAUUCAGUUUUCAAAGGGUAGAGUUCAAGAACUGCAUCUUCCACAACCUGUGGAAGUGUCAGGCUCACCUCUGUGUGAAGGGAGUUCCGCAUACUUGGGGCCAAAAUGGAGAAGGCCCUGUCAUGAGCCUCUGUCCCAUGAAUCUUUGAGAGCUGCAGAACCACUGGGAGUUUCUCUUCCGCUGAUCUGCAUCUUGGGCCUGGUCUUGGAGGUAUUUUUUUCAGAUAUUCCAUACAAUUCAAAUUAUGAUGCAAUAAAGUACAACAUAAGAAAUAAAAGAAGCAAUUGAAAUACAAUUAGAUAUUGGGAUUUAGUGUGAUGGCUGUGCUACCUCCCAUCUAAAACCAAAAACCCACAGACCCACCAUGGGUCACGAAUGAGGCUCGCGGACCACAGUUUGCAAACCCCCGCCAUAGAGAGCUUGUGCCCGUCAUGGUGAUAGGUUUGCUUAUCUGGAAACAUGAAGCUGAUCUUAGCUUUAUUGAUCUGACAGGGCUCCCACCCGAUGUUGUGCUUUUGCUAACUUUGGCUUUUUGGACAGAGGGGCUUCUUAAUCUGUUCUUGGGGGUGAUGGCGAGGAUUUGGCAGGAGCAGUAUUGAACUAAACAUAAGUCUCAGGCUGCUUUCUGUGUGGCUUGCUCAGCUCAACUCGCUUGAAAUGCUGAAGUACACAUGUAAUUGAUAAUUAAAUGCUAAAGUUCUUGGCUGUUUCAGAACACAAGCUUUAUUUGUCUGUGGGAAAAAAGGACUGGCUAUCUAAUGCUGGGGGGGUGGCAGCGGAAUGUAGAGUCGUUGUUCCAUCAAAUCAGUAAUAGUGGUAGUUUUCAUAAAUAUUUUCAAGCCAAUUAUGCACACUCCUAUGCUAGUAUUGUAACUAAUGAUUUAUAAGGCAUUGACCCAUUCCUCACUUGGAAGUACAGUGGUACCUCGGGUUACAGAUGCUUCAGUUUACAAAUGCUUCAUGUUACAGACUCCACCAACCCAGAAAUAGUACUUUGGGUUAAGAACUUUGCUUCAGAAUGAGAACUGAAAUCGUGCGGUGGCAGUGCAGCAGCAGCAGCAGCGAGAGGCCCCGUUAGCUAAAGUGGCACCUCAGGUUAAGCACAGUUUCAGGUUAAGAACGGACCUCAAGAACGAAUUAAGUUCUUAACGUGAGGUACCACUGUAUAUGGGCAUAUUAUAAAGGUAAAGGUAGAGGGACCCCUGACCAUUAGGUCCAGUCGUGGCCGACUCUGGGGUUGCGGUGCUCAUCUCACUUUAUUGACUGAGCGAGCCGGCGUACAGCUUCCAGGUCAUGUGGCCAGCAUGACUAAGCCACUUCUGGCGAACCAGAGCAGCGCAUGGAAACGCCGUUCACCUUACCGCUGGAGCGGUACCUAUUUAUCUACUUGUACUUUGAGGUGCUUCUAAACUGCUAGGUUGGCAGGAGCAGGGACCGAGCAAUGGGAGUUCACCCCGUCGCGGGGAUUCGAACCGUCGACCUUCUGAUCGGCAAGUUCUAGGCUCUGUGGUUUAACCCACAGUGCCACCCGUGUCUCAGGGCAUAUUAUAGUCACAUACUAAAUAUGAAGGGGAAAAAAGAGAGGUGCAGUUGUUUUGCUUCAAUUCAUUUUAGUUCAUAGAAUCAUAGAAUCAUAGAGUUGGAAGAGACCACAAGGGCCAUCGAGUCCAACCCCCUGCCAAGCAGGAAACACCAUCAGAGCACUCCUGACAUAUGGUUGUCAAGCCUCUGCUUAAAGACCUCCAAAGAAGGAGACUCCACCACACUCCUUGGCAGCAAAUUCCAAUGUCGAACAGCUCUUACUGUCAGGAAGUUCUUCCUAAUGUUUAGGUGGAAUCUUCUUUCUUGUAGUUUGGAUCCAUUGCUCCGUGUCCGCUUCUCUGGAGCAGCAGAAAACAACCUUUCUCUCUCCUCUAUGUGACAUCCUUUUAUAUAUUUGAACAUGGCUAUCAUAUCACCCCUUAACCUCCUCUUCUCCAGGCUAAACAUGCCCAGCUCCCUUAGCCGUUCCUCAUAAAGCAUCGUUUCCAGGCCUUUGACCAUUUUGGUUGCCCUCCUCUGGACACGUUCCAGUUUGUCAGUGUCCUUCUUGAACUGUGGUGCCCAGAACUGGACACAGUACUCCAGGUGAAGUCUGACCAGAGGAGAAUACAGUGGCACUAUUACUUCCCUUGAUCUAGAUGCUAUACUCCUAUUGAUGCAGCCCAGAAUUGCAUUGGCUUUUUUAGCUACCGCGUCACACUGUUGGCUCAUGUCAAGUUUGUGGUCAACCAAGACUCCUAGAUCCUUUUCACAUGUACUGCUCUCAAGCCAGGUGUCACCCAUCUUGUAUUUGUGCCUCUCAUUUUUUUGCCCAAGUGCAAUACUUUACAUUUCUCCCUGUUAAAAUUCAUCUUGUUUGUUUUGGCCCAGUUCUCUAAUCUGUCAAGGUCGUUUUGAAGUGUGAUCCUGUCCUCUGGGAUGUUAGCCACCCCUCCCAGUUUGGUGUCAUCUGCAAAUUUGAUCAGGAUGCCCUUGAGUCCAUCAUCCAAGUCGUUGAUAAAGAUGUUGAAUAAGACCCGGCCCAAGACAGAACCCUGUGGCACCCCACUAGUCACUCUUCUCCAGGAUGAAGAGGAACCAUUGAUGAGCACCCUUUGGUGUAUUUAUAAAAUAAAUUCUCUGGAUUUUUCAGAUUCACGGUUAACAUAAUGUAGAUUUAGGGACCAAAUGGGGAGUAGCUCAGGGGUUGUGCUUGCAAAAAUAUAGCCACUUGAAGGUUUCUGAGUGUUUUUUUUUUUUAAUGGAACUGAAAUGUAGUCCCCAAAGUAACUACUGUAUAUCAAGGUAUUCUGUGACAUCCUUAAUGAUACCAGGACUGCUUUAUGCAAGAAGGUACCACUCUGGUUUCACUAAGCAGUCGGGAUGCUUGAGGAACCUGUUAUUUGUGAGUUCGGGUAUGAAAUAGGCACAUCACACCUAAGGAGCACAGUUAUCCUUCAGAUUUCAUGCUUCUCGGAAUUUUGCAACGUAGAUCUCUGCUGAGAAAACCUAUGGAUGUGUGCUUAUUAAGGAAGGGGUUUGCUUGCUUGGAAUACUGCCAAACUGAGCAGGAUUUAACCCCACUGCUCAUCAGCUGCUGGGCCAGGGGGGUUAAAUCCUUCUGCUUUGGCUGUGCAUCUCUGUUCCCUCCUGGGAACAGGCAUACGUAGCCAACACAGGAUUUGACCCUGCCCUUCUGCCCAUCAUACGAUUUCAUGAGUGGCUGGAGGUUGCCCACCCCUGCCCCAUAGAAUCGCAUACAAACCCACAGGCAUGGAGGGGGCCCAGAGCUACAGUUCCCAGAGUGGUGUAACAGACAAUCCCUCUUCCCAGAGAUCUUUGGGAACCGUAGCUCUGUGAGGAGACUAGGGGUCUCCUAAUGAAGUGGUAUGAUGCUGUGUUAAAUGUAUACUGCAGGUGGGACCUGUGUGUUCUUUUUGCACCUCCCUCUCAUUGUAAUAAUAAUAAUAAUAAUAAUAAUAAUAAUAAUAAUGUAGAUCCAGCAAGCCUGAAGUCUAUCAACCCCUGAUGCCAGCUCAGAGCUGCUCAGAUUCUUCCCUGAGUCUCUAUACGAAGUUUAGGAGGAACAUUUGAAUGCAGCUGCUCUCUAUUUCUUCUUCAUUGCAUUCUAAGUGUAACUGGAAAAGUUUCGGACGCUUGCAGCUGGAAAAGUUUCAGUCACUAGCAAUGAAAAAGAGAUUUCUGCCAGUUGGGAGAGUGAAAAAGAUGGGGGGUUGUUUGAUUUUAGAGGGCAUUGAGGGAUAACAAGAGGCUGAAAGCAUUUCCACUGUAAGAAAAAUGAAUGACACAUGAAAGAAGAAUUACAAGGUAUUUUUUCCUUCCCAGCCCUUAAGAGUGUUGUAAAGCACCAAAGUCUCCGUUGGCAGCAAUAUUUUUGCUUCUGGUUCACUGCUCAAACUAUCGGGUUAGCUACUUUCUAGUGGCAAUUACAUGUUAGUUCAGUUUAGUUAUACUUGAAAGUUGGCCUGUUCCUGGGAGCCCAGCGCUCAAGAAACAGUCUGAUUGCUCUGUGGCUUGUGAGUUUUGUCUGAUUUAUCUAGGACGUUUGUCGACCAGCCAGUCAACAAGAUCCUUUGGGUGGUUCACACAGAGUUCAAUCAAUGAAAGAUACCAUAACAAAAAUAAAUAAAACAUUAAAAUCAAUACGGUGUCUCGCAUAAAGAUAACCACAGCGGCAUAGAUUAUGUUAAAACAUUUUUAACCUAGCAGAAUGAUCUGUUCCAAGGGCAAAAGGUAUAGUCACAAAAAAAGACCCAGGAGAUUAAAAGGACACUGAAAAGUUAUUAACGUACGUGCAAGAUGAGCCUUGUUGGGGAUAGCCUUUUCUAACUGGGGUGCCACCACCAAGAAGGUCAUCUCACUAAAUACCCAUAUCACCUCUUUAGGCAGAUGUUCCUGGAGAAAGCCCUCUGAUGAGGAGAUCGAUGUCACAGCUGUCUCCAAAGGACCCUCAGGUGGGACAAGGGCCAGGAUUGAAGCUGACGGGGAGACAUACCAAAAGGAAUGAGGGCUUUAUUUAUGUAUGCCACUACAGCAGCAAGAAUGUUGAUUGCACAAAAUUGGAAGACUGGAGAAAUACCAACUAAAGAACAAUGGCAAGAGAAGUUGAUGAACUAUGCAGAACUGGCAAAAAUGACAGAAAGACUAAGAGAAAAAGACAACAGAGACUUUGAAAAAGAUUGGGAACCAUUCAUAUUAGAUUUGCAGAAACAAAGAAAGGUAAUAGACUUGAUGGCAGG